GCCGGGUUGGUGGAACCGGGAUACACAGAGGUCUCAAACACCUCCGCCCGAUAGGGCAUGCGGGUUCGAAUCCCGCACCCGGCA
RNAcentral lists this transfer RNA (84 nucleotides) under Streptomyces sp. 7-21. Its description in RNAcentral is "tRNA-Leu". It matches the Rfam family "tRNA". From Rfam's summary of the family: Transfer RNA (tRNA) molecules are approximately 80 nucleotides in length. Their secondary structure includes four short double-helical elements and three loops (D, anti-codon, and T loops). Further hydrogen bonds mediate the characteristic L-shaped molecular structure. tRNAs have two regions of fundamental functional importance: the anti-codon, which is responsible for specific mRNA codon recognition, and the 3' end, to which the tRNAs corresponding amino acid is attached (by aminoacyl-tRNA synthetases). tRNAs cope with the degeneracy of the genetic code in two manners: having more than one tRNA (with a specific anti-codon) for a particular amino acid; and 'wobble' base-pairing, i.e. permitting non-standard base-pairing at the 3rd anti-codon position. Lineage: Bacteria; Bacillati; Actinomycetota; Actinomycetes; Kitasatosporales; Streptomycetaceae. RNAcentral also lists the same sequence under 1 other name. The record is from RNAcentral.